This 209-nucleotide long non-coding RNA is filed under the name Jaculus jaculus (lesser Egyptian jerboa). RNAcentral describes it as "Prostate androgen-regulated transcript 1 conserved region 1 (ENSJJAG00000006458.1)". It matches the Rfam family "Prostate androgen-regulated transcript 1 conserved region 1". The record is from RNAcentral. Lineage: Eukaryota; Metazoa; Chordata; Mammalia; Rodentia; Dipodidae.
GAACAGCCUCCUUCCAAUGCAGCUUGGCUGUGAUCACAGCGGAAAAAAGCUGGAAUUCAUCACUGUGAACUUGAUACCUACGUACAGACAGAUGCAACAGCCCAGCACCUUCAAAACAAACCAUCUGCUAGCUCACUACUUUCUCUUCCUUACAAUCACUCCCUCCCAGGAUAUGUUUAUUAAUUUUCUGAACUUAAAAAAAAGAGAGA